GACUAUACUGCAUAAAAGAUUACAAAUCUACUGCUUAUUUUACAUGUGAGGGCAUUCAAAACGAUGCAUUGAUACUUGUCACAUAAUUCCACACUGAUAAUUUGGAUUAUGCUUUCGUUUUCAAGUCGAUAAUUGCAAACAAUAAAACCAAAUUAUACGCAAGAAUUUCUUUCCCGUUCCUUCCAAUAAGCACACCGAAGACUUGCCUAUUGAAUUCACCAGACAACGUCAUUGAAACCCAAAACUAUCUGAAUACUGCAAAAUCAUCGGUGACGAAUGCAGAAUAUAACAUUGAAUCUGAGGAACAUAAAAUCAAUAAUUAAACUGGGGAACAUAAAUUUAACAUUGAAUCUCCAAGAAAACAGAGGAAAAUAUGCUCAAACCAAUUUGUAUUCGCUUGGUUCAUUCAAAGAGAAGACCCAUGCCCCAAUCAAACCACGAUGACUAUGAUUUUUCCUUCUU
This 462-nucleotide long non-coding RNA is filed under the name Actinidia chinensis (golden kiwifruit). RNAcentral describes it as "long non-coding RNA (ACHI_LNC007816)". Lineage: Eukaryota; Viridiplantae; Streptophyta; Magnoliopsida; Ericales; Actinidiaceae. The record is from RNAcentral.